GCCUGGGUGGCUUAGUCAGUUAAGCGUCUGACUUUGGCUCAGGUCAUGAUCUCACUGCUUGUGAGUUCGAGCCCCACUUUGGGCU
This 85-nucleotide transfer RNA is filed under the name Felis catus (domestic cat). It matches the Rfam family "tRNA". Rfam says of the family: Transfer RNA (tRNA) molecules are approximately 80 nucleotides in length. Lineage: Eukaryota; Metazoa; Chordata; Mammalia; Carnivora; Felidae. The record is from Rfam by way of RNAcentral. RNAcentral also lists the same sequence under 2 other names.